RNAcentral lists this ribosomal RNA (170 nucleotides) under Escherichia coli. RNAcentral's name for it is "partial 16S ribosomal RNA". It matches the Rfam family "Bacterial small subunit ribosomal RNA", at positions 1 to 162 of the family's 1533-position model. The record is from RNAcentral. Lineage: Bacteria; Pseudomonadati; Pseudomonadota; Gammaproteobacteria; Enterobacterales; Enterobacteriaceae.
UUAAAUUGAAGAGUUUGAUCAUGGCUCAGAUUGAACGCUGGCGGCAGGCCUAACACAUGCAAGUCGAACGGUAACAGGAAGCAGCUUGCUGCUUUGCUGACGAGUGGCGGACGGGUGAGUAAUGUCUGGGAAACUGCCCGAUGGAGGGGGAUAACUACUGGAAACGGUAG